GGCACGGUGGCCGAGCGGUUAAGGCGUUAGACUUGAACUCUGCUCAUUUGUAGUCACCAAAUUCAGGUAUCUAAUCCCUUCGGGGUCGUAGGUUCAAAUCCUGCCCGUGUCG
This 112-nucleotide transfer RNA is filed under the name Phaeomoniella chlamydospora. It matches the Rfam family "tRNA". Rfam says of the family: Transfer RNA (tRNA) molecules are approximately 80 nucleotides in length. Lineage: Eukaryota; Fungi; Ascomycota; Eurotiomycetes; Phaeomoniellales; Phaeomoniellaceae. The record is from Rfam by way of RNAcentral.